Mesocricetus auratus (golden hamster) is the source of this 1941-nucleotide long non-coding RNA. RefSeq lists it as uncharacterized. The record is from RefSeq and is a predicted model, not a curated record. The transcript is spliced from 2 exons. Lineage: Eukaryota; Metazoa; Chordata; Mammalia; Rodentia; Cricetidae.
UCUCAUGUUAAUGCCAGCUCCCUCUACCACCCCUCCUCCCCAAGCUCUAUAAUUUUGUGGGUUUUUAAAAAAACCCAAGUGAGGCUAAUUUGAGCCUAUUCCUUGAUUAAAAACAACAAAAUUGAUCAAUGUCUUCCACGGCGAUGCCUCAGAGUUAUAUCUUCCUUACCUGUUAUGCCAGUGGAGCCUACACUUAGGGUUGGAUCAGUGUCUCCAAGGUGCUAAAGAUCCUAGUGAUAGGACAAAGAGGAGGCUUGGGUUUCUUUUCAGACAAACCACAACAGCAAACUCCAGCACAGCAACGACUCCCAGAAUCUGAAUGCAUUUGAGCAGGAAGGACUUAAAGCAUUGCUGCCUGCCUUUCAUCCUACAGAGAAGAAGUCUGGAACCCAUGGGAUACAAAAGGAACAAACAACUCAUUACCAGUGUGAGACUCCUUCUGGAUCUAAGACAAUCCCCACCAUGUAACUGUCUUUCUACAACAGGGUAAAGCCACAUUGACCUGUUCCUUCUCUAAGGUGGGUGUAAUGAUGCAUGCUAAGAAUUGUAGAGACAGGAGGUCAAGGUCGUCUUUGGCUGUAUAUCAAGUUGGAAACCAGCCUAGACAACAUGAGAGCUCAUCUUAUUAAUAAAUUAACCAAUUUUAAAAGCCUUCCUAACAACAGGAAUGACUCAAGUUAGACUUACUAGAGUGAAGAAACAAAGACUACCCAUAAGAAGAGUUAACCACAGAUGCAGAGGAAGUCAGGCCACGGAGUACUUUAGCUGACCCUAGACUUGAUGAUUUAUGGAGAUAAGAGUAAAAACUGAGGAUAGAGUAAAGAACUGGGAAUGGAUAGAAUUUGAAAAGCAAGACGGGUGUACACCAACUGAUAAAAGGAAAGGCAAGCAGUGAUCUCUUCUGUCACCUUUGGGAUCUACUGAGCUCACCUUGGUAAUGGACUUCUCUACUAGCACACGUUUGAGCCUGCUAGCAACCACGAUGCCUGCGGUGGGAGAUGAACAUUUUGUGGUGAUACGUAGCUUGUGCUAAUAAAGUCAGUAGAAAAGGUCAGAGAACGGAGCUUGCCAUUAGCUAACCAUAGAGGCCUGGAGGUCUACAGACAGGCAGGAAGUGAGCUAGUUGGACACAAACAGGUUAUAAACAGGGAGAAACAGGAACUCGCUCUCUUGUCUGCUGAGAUGCUAAGGAGGUAGGUGUGGCUGCAGCUUGCUCCUUCUCUCUGGGGUCUCAGCAUUUUCCUCUAUAUCUGACUCCAAGUUUUUAGUUCUUAGACCAAUUAAGAGCUCCAUUUACACAUUUCCCCCUAAGUUGACUGUCUGAAGGACAAAGCCCUCACUUCAACACUCCCCAUGCACUUCUGUAGUUUUUGUGGAAGCCUUAAUAAAAAGCAGCCAUAGGGGUUGGCAUGGCAGUGCAAGCCUCCAAUCCCAACACAGAAGAUAUUGACCCUGGCCUAUACAUGAAGGCUCUACAGCAAGUAAACAAAUAGGCAUUGUAAGUGUCCCUGCCUUUGUGAUCAAGAAUAUUUGCACCACAUAUGGUAACAUCUUCUCUUGUGGCUCUUGCUUUUAGGUCUAGGAAAGAUAGUUUUCUGAAUUUUUACACAGUGAGAUCCUUCAGCUAUUGAAGCACAGCACCUUCUUUCUCUCUUGUUUGCCAUUUCUUACAUUUCUACUAAAGGUGACAACCUGGUUUAGAAGAGCCAACCGGAACUGUUGAAAGUUACUCUCCCCACUAGAGGGCAAUGCAGACCAAGAACCGAGUAUUUUUGUACAAAUUCCAGUGGGUAACAGCAGGGGGCACCCAAAAGCCAUUUUGACUCCCCAAAUGCAGCAUACCAAAAAUCUCUAACCUAUGUCUCUGCCCUUGUGGCUGGUAACUAAGGCAGGGGUUAGAACCUUUUUUGUAAACAAUAAAAAUCGGGAGGGGAGAGAAGG